This 37-nucleotide transfer RNA is filed under the name Equisetum variegatum. RNAcentral's name for it is "partial tRNA-Leu". The record is from RNAcentral. Lineage: Eukaryota; Viridiplantae; Streptophyta; Polypodiopsida; Equisetales; Equisetaceae.
GACUUAAAAAAUCCGUUGGUUUUUUAGAACUGUGAGG